RNAcentral lists this ribosomal RNA (496 nucleotides) under uncultured bacterium. RNAcentral's name for it is "bacterial SSU rRNA". It matches the Rfam family "Bacterial small subunit ribosomal RNA", at positions 30 to 524 of the family's 1533-position model. The record is from RNAcentral.
AUUGAGCGCUGGCGGCAGGCUUAACACAUGCAAGUCGAACGAGGUUAGAAAGCUUGCUUUCGAUACCUAGUGGCGGACGGGUGAGUAAUGCUUAGGAAUCUGCCUAGUAGUGGGGGAUAACUUGGGGAAACUCAAGCUAAUACCGCAUACGACCUACGGGUGAAAGGGGGCGCAAGCUCUCGCUAUUAGAUGAGCCUAAGUCGGAUUAGCUAGUUGGUGGGGUAAAGGCCUACCAAGGCGACGAUCUGUAGCUGGUCUGAGAGGAUGAUCAGCCACACUGGGACUGAGACACGGCCCAGACUCCUACGGGAGGCAGCAGUGGGGAAUAUUGGACAAUGGGCGAAAGCCUGAUCCAGCCAUGCCGCGUGUGUGAAGAAGGCCUUUUGGUUGUAAAGCACUUUAAGUAGGGAGGAAAAGCUAAUGGUUAAUACCCAUUAGCCCUGACGUUACCUACAGAAUAAGCACCGGCUAACUCUGUGCCAGCAGCCGCCGUAAU